CUACGGGAGGCAGCAGUAGGGAAUAUUGGACAAUGGGCGAAAGCCUGAUCCAGCAACACCGCGUGCACGAUGACGGCCUUCGGGUUGUAAAGUGCUUUUAGAGGAGAUGAGAAAGGACAGUAUCCUCUGAAUAAGCCUCGGCGAACUACGUGCCAGCAGCCGCGGUAAAACGUAGGAGGCAAGCGUUAUCCGGAUUUAUUGGGCGUAAAGCGCGUGCAGGCGGUCUAGCAAGUUGGAUGUGAAAGCUCCCGGCUCAACUGGGAGAGGUCGUUCAAUACUGUUAGACUAGAGAAUAGGAGAGGGAGGUGGAAUUCCGGGUGUAGUGGUGACAUGCGUAGAUAUCCGGAGGAACACCAGUGGCGAAAGCGGCCUCCUGGACUAUUUCUGACGCUAAGACGCGAAAGCUAGGGUAGCAAACGGGAUUAGAUACCCCAGUAGUC
Molecule: ribosomal RNA, 440 nt
Filed under: uncultured bacterium
Lineage: Bacteria
Description: partial 16S ribosomal RNA
Rfam family: Bacterial small subunit ribosomal RNA
Source: RNAcentral